This 305-nucleotide ribosomal RNA is filed under the name uncultured bacterium. Its description in RNAcentral is "bacterial SSU rRNA". It matches the Rfam family "Bacterial small subunit ribosomal RNA", at positions 333 to 654 of the family's 1533-position model. The record is from RNAcentral.
CGGGUCCUACGGGAGGCAGCAGUCGGGAAUAUUGCGCAAUGGAGGAAACUCUGACGCAGUGACGCCGCGUAUAGGAAGAAGGUUUUCGGAUUGUAAACUAUUGUCGUUAGGGAAGAUACAAGACAGUACCUAAGGAGGAAGCCCCGGCUAACUAUGUGCCAGCAGCCGCGGUAAUACAUAGGGGGCAAGCGUUAUCCGGAUUUAUUGGGUGUAAAGGGUGCGUAGACGGAGAAACAAGUUGGUUGUGAAAUCCCUCGGCUCAACUGAGGAACUGCAUUUGAAACUGUCAGUCUUGAGUACCGGAG